This is a long non-coding RNA of Thamnophis elegans (Western terrestrial garter snake), 462 nucleotides long. RefSeq lists it as uncharacterized. The transcript is spliced from 2 exons. Lineage: Eukaryota; Metazoa; Chordata; Lepidosauria; Squamata; Natricidae. The record is from RefSeq and is a predicted model, not a curated record.
GAGGCCUGGGGCCUAAAGACUUCAACCCCACUCGAAUGGAGCCAGUUGUGGAUAUCCAGAUAUUUAGAGGGCCACCUUUCUGUGUUUUUAUUAAUAAUACAUAUGGACAUCGUAAAAUAAAUUCAUCACCUGCAAGACAGAUCUGUGGCUCUGCAGCUGAAGAAAAUAAACGUCUCCAAAAGCUUCUCAAACGGCUAGAUCUGAAUGCGUUUUUGGGACAUCCAGUACCUUCGUUAAAAUAAAAUUUUAACAGCUUCUACCUUAAACUGUCUACCAUGGACCUCGCCCGAUUCGUAAGAGGUCGGUAAAGGAGACGGUGCAUAAGCGCACCAGUGUGCCUUCCGUUCCUGUCCUACGGUCCCCCAUUUAUUUGUACUCAUUUCCCUUGCUAAUGUCCACGUUUAUCCUUAUACCUGUUGUCCUGUACGUUUGACAAAUUAAAUAAAAUAAAUGAAAAAAUAA